GAUGAACGCUGGCGGCGUGCCUAAUACAUGCAAGUCGAGCGAACGGACGAGAAGCUUGCUUCUCUGAUGUUAGCGGCGGACGGGUGAGUAACACGUGGAUAACCUACCUAUAAGACUGGGAUAACUUCGGGAAACCGGAGCUAAUACCGGAUGAUAUUUUGAACCGCAUGGUUCAAAAGUUAAAGACGGUCCUGCUGUCACUUAUAGAUGGAUCCGCGCUGCAUUAGCUAGUUGGUAAGGUAACGGCUUACCAAGGCAACGAUGCAUAGCCGACCUGAGAGGGUGAUCGGCCACACUGGAACUGAGACACGGUCCAGACUCCUACGGGAGGCAGCAGUAGGGAAUCUUCCGCAAUGGGCGAAAGCCUGACGGAGCAACGCCGCGUGAGUGAUGAAGGUCUUCGGAUCGUAAAACUCUGUUAUUAGGGAAGAACAUAUGUGUAAGUAACUGUGCACAUCUUGACGGUACCUAAUCAGAAAGCCACGGCUAACUACGUG
Molecule: ribosomal RNA, 497 nt
Filed under: uncultured bacterium
Lineage: Bacteria
Description: partial 16S ribosomal RNA
Rfam family: Bacterial small subunit ribosomal RNA
Source: RNAcentral